RNAcentral lists this ribosomal RNA (423 nucleotides) under uncultured bacterium. RNAcentral's name for it is "bacterial SSU rRNA". It matches the Rfam family "Bacterial small subunit ribosomal RNA", at positions 357 to 776 of the family's 1533-position model. The record is from RNAcentral.
AGGAAUAUUGGUCAAUGGGCGCAAGCCUGAACCAGCCAUGCCGCGUGCAGGAAGACGGCUCUAUGAGUUGUAAACUGCUUUUGUACUAGGGUAAUUUGCGGUACGUGUACCGUAUUGAAAGUAUAGUACGAAUAAGGAUCGGCUAACUCAGUGCAAGCAGCCGCGGUAAUACGGAGGAUCCAAGCGUUAUCCGGAUUUAUUGGGUUUAAAGGGUGCGUAGGCUGUGAGGUAAGUCAGCGGUGAAAUGCCCCCGCUCAACGGGGUGAAGUGCCAUUGAUACUGCCUUGCUGGAAUGCGGAUGCCGUGGGAGGAAUGUGUGGUGUAGCGGUGAAAUGCAUAGAUAUCACACAGAACACCGAUUGCGAAGGCAUCUCACGAAUCCGCGAUUGACGCUGAUGCACGAAAGCGUGGGUAUCAAACAGG